GAUGAACGCUAGCUACAGGCUUAACACAUGCAAGUCGAGGGGAAACGACAUCGAAAGCUUGCUUUUGAUGGGCGUCGACCGGCGCACGGGUGAGUAACGCGUAUCCAACCUGCCCAUCACUUGGGGAUAACCUUGCGAAAGUAAGACUAAUACCCAAUGACGUCUCUAGAAGACAUCUGAAAGAGAUUAAAGAUUUAUCGGUGAUGGAUGGGGAUGCGUCUGAUUAGCUUGUUGGCGGGGUAACGGCCCACCAAGGCUACGAUCAGUAGGGGUUCUGUGAGGAAGGUCCCCCAGAUUGGAACUGAGACACGGUCCAAACUCCUACGGAAGGCAGCAGUGAGGAAUAUUGGUCAAUGGACGAGAGUCUGAACCAGCCAAGUAGCGUGCAGGAAGACGGCCCUAUGGGUUGUAAACUGCUUUUAUAAGGGAAUAAAGUGAGUCUCGUGAGACUUUUUGCAUGUACCUUAUGAAUAAGGACCGGCUAAUUCCGUGCCAGCCGCCGCCGUAA
Molecule: ribosomal RNA, 508 nt
Filed under: uncultured bacterium
Lineage: Bacteria
Description: partial 16S ribosomal RNA
Rfam family: Bacterial small subunit ribosomal RNA
Source: RNAcentral